UACGGAGGGGGCUAGCGUUGUUCGGAAUUACUGGGCGUAAAGCGCGCGUAGGCGGACUGUUAAGUCGGGGGUGAAAUCCCGGGGCCCAACCCCGGAACUGCCUUCGAUACUGGCGGUCUAGAGGUCUGGAGAGGUGAGUGGAAUUCCGAGUGUAGAGGUGAAAUUCGUAGAUAUUCGGAGGAACACCAGUGGCGAAGGCGGCUCACUGGCCAGAUGCUGACGCUGAGGUGCGAAAGAGUGGGGAGCAAACAGG
This 253-nucleotide ribosomal RNA is filed under the name uncultured bacterium. RNAcentral's name for it is "partial 16S ribosomal RNA". It matches the Rfam family "Bacterial small subunit ribosomal RNA", at positions 524 to 776 of the family's 1533-position model. The record is from RNAcentral.